This 180-nucleotide non-coding RNA is filed under the name Azoarcus sp. RNAcentral's name for it is "6S RNA". It matches the Rfam family "6S / SsrS RNA". Rfam says of the family: E. coli 6S RNA was the first non coding RNA to be sequenced, but its function was unknown until recently. It consists of 184 nucleotides that fold into an extended hairpin structure with a large single-stranded internal bulge. The record is from RNAcentral. Lineage: Bacteria; Pseudomonadati; Pseudomonadota; Betaproteobacteria; Rhodocyclales; Zoogloeaceae.
AAUCCCCUGCGGUGUUCGUGAAAGCCGUAAAUUCCUUGAACCAAUAUUGUGAGACCGGUUACCGACCAUGAAAUCGCUGGUGUGCGCGCCCCUUGCGGGCGAGCCUGAGGCGGAAGGGAAGUAACCCCCUGAACCCCAGGUUCAGGAUAAACCGGUGGAUACGGCACAGGCGGGGGGCCA